This 482-nucleotide ribosomal RNA is filed under the name uncultured bacterium. RNAcentral's name for it is "bacterial SSU rRNA". It matches the Rfam family "Bacterial small subunit ribosomal RNA", at positions 29 to 507 of the family's 1533-position model. The record is from RNAcentral.
AUGAACGCUAGCGGCAGGCCUAACACAUGCAAGUCGAGGGGCAGCACAGGUAGCAAUACUGGGUGGCGACCGGCGGAUGGGUGCGUAACGCGUAUGCAACCUACCAUUGAUUGGGGCAUAGCCCGAAGAAAUUCGGAUUAAUACUCCAUAAUAUUCAUCAAAGGCAUCUUUUAUGAAUUAAAGCUUUUGCGAUCAAUGAUGGGCAUGCGUGACAUUAGUUAGUUGGUGAGGUAACGGCUCACCAAAACGAUGAUGUCUAGGGGUUCUGAGAGGAUUAUCCCCCACACUGGUACUGAGACACGGACCAGACUCCUACGGGAGGCAGCAGUGAGGAAUAUUGGUCAAUGGACGCAAGUCUGAACCAGCCAUGCCGCGUGCAGGAUGACGGCCCUAUGGGUUGUAAACUGCUUUUCCACGGGAAGAACCUUCCGACGUGUCGGAGACUGACGGUACCGUGGGAAUAAGCAUCGGCUAACUCCGUG